Molecule: ribosomal RNA, 397 nt
Filed under: uncultured bacterium
Lineage: Bacteria
Description: partial 16S ribosomal RNA
Rfam family: Bacterial small subunit ribosomal RNA
Source: RNAcentral
AUACGUAGGGGGCGAGCGUUGUCCGGAAUGAUUGGGCGUAAAGGGCGCGUAGGCGGCCUGUUAAGUCUGGAGUGAAAGUCCUGUUUUCAAGAUGGGAAUUGCUUUGGAUACUGUCGGGCUUGAGUGCAGGAGAGGUAAGUGGAAUUCCCAGUGUAGCGGUGAAAUGCGCAGAUAUUAGGAGGAACACCGGUGGCGAAGGCGGCUAUCUGGACAGUAACUGACGCUGAGGCGCGAAAGCACGGGGAGCAAACAGGAUUAGAUACCCUGGUAGUCCGUGCCGUAAACGAUGAAUACUAGGUGUAGGGGGUAUCGACUCCCUCUGUGCCGCAGUUAACACAUUAAGUAUUCCACCUGGGGAGUACGGCCGCAAGGUUGAAACUCAAAUGAAUUGGCGGGG